Molecule: long non-coding RNA, 1676 nt
Organism: Raphanus sativus (radish)
Lineage: Eukaryota; Viridiplantae; Streptophyta; Magnoliopsida; Brassicales; Brassicaceae
Exons: 3
Source: RefSeq, a predicted model, not a curated record
AACAAAUCGGGGGACUAAACUGUAAUAAACUGAAAAUGGAGGGGUAAAGAGAAAUUAUCCAUGAACUGAAACGCAGAGAAGAAGUUUGGAUAACAUUGGAGUUUGCAGGAAUCACCGGAGGGAUACAGAAAGCUAUGCUGACGAUUCUAUCAAACCCUCUCUCUCCGAAGCUUACAGUUCUAUGUGAAAGCCUCGGGAUCUUGACAUGUCGGAGUAAAAGACCGACGUGUUGUUCGUUGAGUGAAGAACCAAAGUACCAAAGGAUUCAACGAUGAUAUCUUCCCGAACGACUCUUUAGCAUCCCCGAAAAAGUCUAUAUUAUAAUAUGCAGAAUAUAAUAUAGAGAUAGAAGCAAGACGCAUUCGACUAGAGAGAAAGAAAGAGAGAGAAGGUAGAUUCCACCUCGGGUCCGGCGAGCGGCCGCGCGUGAGCGUGCCUGUCACCGCCGGAGCCCUUCGUUUUCUCAGCAUGUCUCACGGCUCUCGAUCUCUUCACCAUCUCCUCCUUUAUUCCGCCUUGUCUGAGUUCUGGAUAGCCCCUUUCUGUGGUGGCUUCUCAUCUGGUGGGAAGACGCGGUUCUUUGGUUUCGGCGUGGUGAAGAGAGUCGUUUCUGGUCACGGUUUUUUCGGGAGGUGGAGGCUCUGUUAGCUCCGCCGACGCCGGCUCUUGUCUCCGAGAGGUGGAAGCUUUGUUAGCUUCGCCAUCUUCGGAUCUAGCUUCCGGAAGAUGAAGACUUCCACAGUCUUAUCUCUCCGGUUUAUGGUGGUUCGUGGUGCCCUGUCGGUUAGAGUUAUGGUUCUGGUUCUGUAGCGAGAGUGGUUAGGGUUCCUCUCGUGCGACGGUGAUGACUUUCAAGGGAAGAAAGUGAUGUUUCUCGGGUCGAUUGUCCAGCGUGUCAAGUGGUGCAAAGUCGGAGAAGAUCUCGACGGUUUCGAUGGAUCUCUAUCCGGCAUGAAGACAUAGCGAUGAGGAACGGGUUGGUUUUGUUGGAGGCUCUGUUGGCUCUUGAGCUCCGACAGAUCUCGGGUCUUGAUGGUGAUGCGCCGAGGGCGUGGUGACGGCGACGGAGACGGUCGAGUUGAGGCGGAUGGCGACGCGUGUCGCAUGUAAAGGGCAGAUCACCCCACGUGGCAUGCCUCCUCGAUUUGGGCUCUGUCGGGUUUGGUGUUUUGUUUGGGUGGGCUGCGGGCCCGUUUAUUUUAUUUGUGUAGCCCGGUAAUCUUUGGGUUUUAGCUUGUAUCAUGUUGGACUUCGGCCUUUUAUCUAAUGUAAAUCUACUUGACGGGAAAAAAAGAUAGAAGCAAGACGCAGAAAAAAAAAACACACAAGAUAUAAUAUUUUUGUUGUACGGUAAUAUUCGUAUAAUCAUUGAAAAUUGGUCGUUUCAAUAUUUAUUUUUUACGGUUGAAUCAGUACAUUAGAUUUUAAACCGAAAAAUAUAUGGAAUAGGACCAAUAUAAUACAACAAAGAUAAUCGAUGUUCAUAAUACGAAAAAAUUUGAAGAUUGCAAGAAAACUAAUAGAGUUUUUACUCUAUUAAUCAAGAUUUCUCAAAGAGAAUCGUCUUCUCAAGUUAUUCUCUGUGUUCUAACGUUUUAUGUAUCAUUUUAUCUAAUAUUGUUUGUUGUAUUUUGUAUUUGUAUAAUUUGUUUAUAAUCUAAUAAAUAAAUUUAUAU